Molecule: ribosomal RNA, 253 nt
Filed under: uncultured bacterium
Lineage: Bacteria
Description: partial 16S ribosomal RNA
Rfam family: Bacterial small subunit ribosomal RNA
Source: RNAcentral
UACGGAGGGUGCAAGCGUUAUCCGGAUUCACUGGGUUUAAAGGGUGCGUAGGUGGGCAGGUAAGUCCGUGGUGAAAUCCCUGAGCUUAACUCGGGAACUGCCAUGGAUACUAUUUGUCUUGAAUAUUGUGGAGGUAAGCGGAAUAUGUCAUGUAGCGGUGAAAUGCUUAGAUAUGACAUAGAACACCAAUUGCGAAGGCAGCUUACUACACAGUUAUUGACGCUCAUGCACGAAAGCGUGGGGAUCAAACAGG